Molecule: RNA transcript, 3259 nt
Organism: Vitis vinifera (wine grape)
Lineage: Eukaryota; Viridiplantae; Streptophyta; Magnoliopsida; Vitales; Vitaceae
Gene name: ATP-dependent DNA helicase At3g02060, chloroplastic
Exons: 14
Source: RefSeq, a predicted model, not a curated record
AAACAGACAAGAAAGUAGGAAAUAAGAGUCAAGAAAAUUUUAUCACCAUUGGCUCACUGGCUCUUUCCACAAAUAUCUGUAUUUGAUUUUUUCGGGAUUUGCUAAAACCCUGCCAAAACCCCCACCCACCUCAAUUCCCCAUGGUUGGGUCCUUCUCUACUGUUGUAUUGUAAUGGCCGUCGCUAGAGCUCAUCUCUCCCCCAUUUCCGUCUCUGAACACGAUGUCUCCUCCUCAUUUCUGGGGUCGUCUCCUAGGGUUUGGAGAUUCUUCUUCGCGUGUCCUUGCCAUGCCAGAAUCAAACGCACCCAUUUACUCACCACCGCUGUUUAUACCGAAGGCGUUUCAAUCACCCGGUCGGUGCAACGACGGGAGAGGAUGGAGCCGGAAAGCGACGACAUAACGAUUCUGAACGAGAGGAUUCGUCGCGAGCAGAGUAAGAGGGAUGUUUCGAGGGCUCCGGUGGUGGAUUCGGAGGAGGCGGAUAAGUAUAUUCAGCUGGUGAAGGAGCAGCAGCGGAGGGGUUUGCAGAAGCUGAAGGGUGAGAGGGUGGGGAAGGAGAAUGGGCAAUUCAGUUAUAAGGUUGAUCCUUAUACGCUUCGUUCUGGAGAUUAUGUUGUGCAUAAGAAGGUGGGUAUCGGGCGAUUUGUCGGGAUUAAGUUGGACGUUCCCAAGGAUUCUUCCAACCCAAUUGAGUAUGUGUUUAUAGAGUAUGCAGAUGGAAUGGCAAAGCUUCCGGUGAAGCAAGCUUCUCGUAUGCUUUAUCGAUAUAAUCUCCCCAGUGAAUCAAAAAGGCCCCGCACAUUGAGCAAGUUAAGUGAUACUAGUAUAUGGGAAAGGAGAAGGAUAAAAGGUCGGGUUGCCAUUCAGAAGAUGGUUGUUGAUUUGAUGGAGCUGUAUUUACAUCGGCUGAAACAAAAAAGGCCUCCCUAUCCAAAGAGUCCUGGCAUGGCUGAGUUUGAAGCUCAGUUUUCUUAUGAGCCGACACCGGAUCAAAAACAGGCUUUCAUUGAUGUUGAGGAGGACUUGACAGAGAGAGAAACUCCAAUGGACAGAUUAAUUUGUGGGGAUGUUGGGUUUGGCAAAACUGAAGUUGCACUACGGGCAAUAUUUUGUGUUGUCUCAGCAGGGAAGCAAGCUAUGGUUCUGGCACCUACAAUUGUUUUAGCCAAACAACAUUUUGAUGUUAUUACAGAGCGGUUCUCUAAGUAUCCUAACAUCAAGGUCGGGCUUCUGAGCAGAUUUCAGACCACAGCAGAGAAAGAGAAGCAUCUGCGCAUGAUUAAACAUGGUGAUCUAGACAUUAUUGUGGGAACUCACUCGCUUCUUGGAAAUCGUGUUGUUUAUAGUAAUCUAGGCCUUCUUGUGGUCGAUGAGGAACAGAGGUUUGGUGUCAAACAGAAGGAGAAGAUUGCUUCAUUUAAAACUUCAGUUGAUGUUCUCACUCUUUCUGCAACACCCAUCCCACGAACCCUUUAUCUAGCAUUGACUGGGUUUCGUGAUGCUAGUUUGAUUUCAACACCACCUCCAGAAAGAGUUCCCAUCAUAACUCAUCUUUCAGCAUACAAUAAAGAGAAGAUAAUAUCGGCAAUCAAGUUUGAGCUGGGCCGAGGUGGCCAAAUUUUCUAUGUUUUGCCUCGUAUAAAAGGACUUGAAGAAGUCAUGGAAUUUCUUGAAUGCUCAUUUCCAGAUGUUGAAAUAGCUAUUGCACAUGGCAAGCAAUACUCAAAGCAGCUUGAGGAAACCAUGGAUAGAUUUGCACAAGGAGAAAUUAAGAUUCUUAUAUGCACAAAUAUAGUAGAAAGUGGACUUGACAUUCAGAAUGCAAACACCAUCAUAAUUCAGGAAGUUCAACAAUUUGGCCUGGCACAAUUAUACCAGUUGCGUGGAAGAGUGGGGCGUGCAGAUAAGGAAGCUCAUGCAUACUUGUUUUACCCUGAUAAGUCACUGCUGUCUGAUCAAGCACUGGAGAGACUGUCAGCUCUUGAAGAAUGUCGUGACCUUGGUCAAGGUUUUCAACUUGCAGAGAGAGACAUGGGUAUAAGAGGCUUUGGUAACAUCUUUGGUGAGCAACAGACAGGGGAUGUUGGAAAUGUAGGCAUUGAUCUCUUCUUUGAAAUGCUUUUUGAGAGCUUGUCAAAGGUUGAAGAGCACCGUCUUAUUUCAGUUCCUUACCAAUCAGUGCAGUUUGACAUAAAUAUAAACCCUCAUCUCCCUUCUGAGUAUAUAAAUUAUCUGGAGAACCCCAUGGAAAUAAUUAGUGAAGCUGAGAAAUCUGCUGAAGAGGACAUUUGGAGUUUGAUGCAAUUCACAGAGAAUCUGCGCCGUCAAUAUGGGAAAGAGCCUUACUCAAUGGAGGUUCUAUUGAAAAAGCUUUAUGUGAAGAGAAUGGCAGCAGAUCUUGGGAUUACCAGGAUAUAUGCUUCAGGAAAGACGGUUAUCAUGAGAACAAAAAUGAAUAAAAAGGUUUUCAAGCUGAUAACAGAUUCUAUGGCUUCUGACAUCAUCAGAAAUUCUCUUGUUUUUGAGGAGAACCAGAUUAAGGCGGAACUACUUCUGGAGCUACCGAGAGAGCAGUUCCUCAAUUGGGUUUUCCAAUGCUUGGCUGAACUGCAUGCUUCCCUGCCAGCCCUUAUUAAGUACUAGUCCUCUUUACAGAAAAAUGCCCAUUCUUUCAGACUUGCUAUAUCAUCGGGUUCCCCCCCCACUGAACAUCAAUCAAGAUUACAUGGUUGCUUCAGGCCUGAAAACGAACACCAAGAAACCCCGGAAGUAGCACCAAAGCUCCAGGGGCUGCCACCCUCAUGAUGUUUCAAAGCUGUGAUGCCCUUGUAAAGAUCAUGAGAUGUUCAAAAACUAAAACAAAAAUUGAGACAAAGCAUUAGAUAUUUGAAAAUUUAUUCCUAACAUGGGUGCCAGACACUGAUCAGAAUCAUAUUUUGCUUCUUCAAGGAUGAUGCACAUACAGAGGUGAAGGGGACCAGGUGGGGAACAGAGAAGACUGCAGAUUGUGCUACUUCUAAACCAUAUUCUUACAAUCUGUAAAAUCCAUCCCAGGGAAUUUGGAAUAUUUGUUUGAUCCAACCUGCCUUCAGGGUCUCGAUGUGGUCGGUGUUUAAUUAUUUCUUAGUAAACAAACAGAAUGAACAGCAGAAACCAGCAGCAGGGACAGUGAUGGUAACUGGUCACGCAGGCUUCAUGUAGUUGAGUUGAGGGGUUGGUUUGAAAAAGAAAGGUCAAGCAGGGGAAAUUCAAAUUUGA